Molecule: long non-coding RNA, 17209 nt
Filed under: Fragaria vesca (wild strawberry)
Lineage: Eukaryota; Viridiplantae; Streptophyta; Magnoliopsida; Rosales; Rosaceae
Description: long non-coding RNA (FVES_LNC001715)
Source: RNAcentral
CUCUUUAAUUAAUUAUACACACACAUAUAUAUAAUUAAUUAUACACACAAACAUAUAAAGUAAAAGAAAAGAAAAGAAAAGAAAAUGAUUCCGAGUGUUACUCCAUCUUAGUAUGAAGCAAGGUUUUUAGACUUUAAUCUUAUGUGUGGAUAUAUAUUUCAUCUAAGUCUAACAUUUCUACUUAUCUAGAUAAAUAACUUAAAUUAUAUCAGCACAAGUACGAGAUUAUGAUACCGUUUAAAUUUCAAUGACUUUUGAUUUAAACAUCUUAAAAUGAUUCAUUCAAAAUGUAUUUUUCUUCACUACGACAACGAUUCAGUCGGUUAUCAACGUACUUUUCAAUUUUAUUUCAAGAUCAAUUUACUUGCGUUGAUAUGAGAUACAAACUUUUUAUCUUAUUUUCUUGAAACAAGUGACAUACAAACAAGUGACAUACACUGAUGCUGCUCCCAUAAGAAACCCAAGAGAUCAUGAAGUGAUAGAAGAAAGAACCGAGGAGAUUGCAUAUGCAUAGGCACGCGCUCACGCACUUCCAAAUCUGCGUUCGGUCACUUCGGUGCUUACGUUACAAACUCAACCGCCCCAACCCGACGCUGCGAUUCCUGUGUGCUCCCAAUUCGGCGGCGUCUGCGUCCACAUUGCACGCGCCGACGCGUGUUUAAUUUUGCAAUUUGGGCCUUUUUGUCAGAGGGACUGGGCUACAAGGGCUGCUGCCAAAACGUGGAUCUUGGGCUGUCAACGUCAGACAGGGGCCCAGUCUUUUAAUAAGGAUUUACCAACAAGAUCCAGGUUCUGACGUCACGGGUCACCUAGAAAAGGGAGCGGGGCGUUUCACUGUAGCAGCAGAGAAAUGUGGCUUCUCCUUGUGAAGUUAAAAACCAGACGAUGAGUGAGCAGACACCUUCCUCUUAGCUUGUUGUGGAUAAUGAUCCUAGCUGGAUAUUUCUUUGUUUUCCCAAAUAAAUAAUGUACAACUUCUAAAAAUAAAAUCUUAUCCAAAAAACUUCUAAAAAUAAACCAAAAACAAUAAAUAAUGAACAAUCUGCAAUGUUACUGUUUUGCACUAAAUUUUUGGAUGCUUCUAUAAGUAAAGAAGUUUCCUCCACGUAAUUUCUACAUUUAUGUGCUUCUAGCAUGAGUUAAGUAAUUGAACUAAAAGAAAUUAGUUAAGCGAAGCAAGACGAAUCAAACUUUACUAUGAGACCAAGGGGGUCAUGCCUCCCUCCUUUCCUCACUGAUUCAGAAGCUUUUUUAAUUACGGUGUUAUUAUGUUAUUUUUGGUAUUUUAAGAAUUUGACAUAUAUGCAUUGUCAACAACAACAAAAAUUGACAUAUAUGGCUCGAAAGUUAUUCUAAGUUCCGUCACUAUAUGUGUCACAUCCCGAUCCUUAAAUUUUUACCUUAUUUACUAGCUUGGUAUUAAUAAGAGUUUUACCGUCUUCGUUAAUGAGAUUAUAAUUUUUUUGGUCCCUAGAGGGUUUUUGAGAGACGAUUAUUUCGGAGAAUUAUUUGUAGGAGAAAAUAUGACGACGGUAAAAAUGGUAAAUUUUAGCUAGUAAAAGGUAAUUUUUUGUUAGAGUAUUUUUAUUGAGGUGUUUUAUGUUAUGGAGUAGAGUGUUUUAGAGUGGUUUUAAGGAGUUGGACCCGGUGUUGGAGGCCCAAAGUCUUUUUCUUCUUCUCUCUUUUCUCUUCCCUCUUCCCCGAGCCCCCUCCCCGGCGAACUUCCAGCCGCCGUCCGGUCGUCCCAGACCACCGCUCAUGUCCCGAUCAAACCCCUCUCUCCUCCCCUCUCUCCCUAGGCCGGUGAGCAAGCCCACAGCGCCACCGAACGGGAGGAAACUCCUCCGAGGAGCCAACUGUGCUCUUGCCGGAACUCACUCUUCCGGCCGCCAUAGCCGGAGCUGCUAGGCUAAAAAAAGAAGCCCUCCUUCCAUGCAUUCAUCCCUCCAAAGGUGUCUCUCCCUCUUGAGCUAGGUAAGGAGUUAUUUGGUGUUCAAGCUCAUGGGUUUUCUAGAAUGUUUUCGUUCGAUUGACCUAGUUAGGCUUGAAAUUGGGUGUUGUGCUAGUUAAAGAAGUUGUAGAGUGAGUUGAGAGGAAGUUGUGUUAAAAUUUGGUAGGCAUUAGAGGUCGCCGGAGUCGGCCUCCGGCCGUCGCUGCCGGUGGAGCAGGCGGCAGCGCUACCGCUGUUGUCAAGACCCAUCCCGAAUUUCACCCUGAAACCCGAAGUAAAUCCUACGGGGACCAUCUCCAAGGAAAGUUUACCGAAAAUUCGACAUAACCUCCCUUGAAAAUGGACAACCCUUCAUAAUAAUACCUGCAAACACUUCUGAAAAAUCCAAAUCCAUCCUUUAACUCCUGGAGCCUUCGUGCUCCCCAAAACACAACAUCUCCCAAUUAUUUACUAAUUUUAAUAAGAAAACUAACAACCAACAAUCACUAGUUCAUAGCAACUCUAAUAUAGGAGAAAAGGACUAGAAUUAUAAAUGUGAACGGGAGCUACACUAUCGCCUAUGCCUCACCUCCAUGUACACCCGAACUCAACUAUGCAAACCUGCCAACUGGGCAUUUUAAAACGAAGGGUCCAGGGGAAAACAUUUAUUAACGCGUUAGAGUGAGUGCACAAAAAUAAAUUAAUAAAAAUAUUUAUGCAUUUCCAUUUUAAUUUCCAAAGAAAAUAUACUGCAUGCGGCAGCUCAAAAGCGCUCAACACAAAAACUGGCAAUUUCAUGAUUAGCUCCGGCCAGUCUCCAAAGCUCAAUAAAAUACAGCCUCUCAGGCUAAAAUAAAAUAUGUAUGUAUUACACUCGUCAUAUCCCUUGUAUGAAUUUUCUUGAAACAACAAAGACAAAUAGAAAAUUCACACAAGGCUACGACGCUUGCGUCUAACGCUCACGUCGNNNNNNNNNNNNNNNNNNNNAUAUAUAUAUAUAUAUAUAUAUACACUCACCGAAAUUCUCAAUUUCGGUUAUUUUCCAACAACAUAAAUUAUUUCGCAUGCACACUAUUUAAAACAAAAGUCCACUCACAGUAUUAGGCCUAAGCCUUCCAAUGCUCGGAAUACUCCUCGAGCGCUGCCUCCAACUAAUCACACUCUCUAGCCAAAUCCCACGUCUGACGAUAAACAGAAGAAUAAAUUUGUCAGACCGGACUCCAAAAUAAUCAUUGAUUGGACUUCGUCCUAAUUCGACUAGGUUUCCCUAGGUUGACCAGGAUUGACCAAAUGAUUAAAUAUUAUUUUUAACCAAUUUCACAUCCAGAACUCAUUUUGCUCAAGUUCCGUAACCUCAACUUGGAAUCAAGUUCUCAUUGAAAUUCCAAGCCUAAAGCGUAACAUCCAAAAUAUUUCACCAUUCCGCCAAGUAAUAAAAUAAACACAAAACUCACUAUGGACACCCAUAGUAUUAUUUAGCUCAUUUCAAAAUCCAACUAGAGUCAACCUCAUUCUCUACUUAAAUGCUUUUAAACAAGCUGCAAAUACCAACAACUUCACUUUUUCCCUACCAUCCAACUUCACAUUAUGCCUAGACUUUCAAGACCACAAUUUUAAACUCCAACAUCAAUUCCUCUUAAGGCAUCAAUAACAUUUAUCAGACUCAAAACUACCUUAACGACUCUCAGCCAGAUAUGCUGCUUUGUCGGAUUCCGGCGACUUGCUGGAAUAUUCUGCCGGAUUCCGGCCACUUGCCGGAAUUUCACCAUGAUCUCCCCGCAAUCUCUAGAACACCAAGUUAUCGAUAUAAAACAACCAAAACAACAAUUAGCUUCUUCCAAACUCACACAGCAGCAACACGACAACUCUAGGAGCAAGAAGAUUACCUUCAGACGACAGCAAAGCUUCUCUUGCCGGAUUUCGGGUUCGUGGCUCCUCCCACAUAGCAGUAGCAACACCUCAAGUCUCCCCAACCGAUAGUCUUGGCCUCUUGAAGCUUAGCAGGUCGUCGGGAGGAGACAAGAGGUACAAUGAAGCCUCAUCAACUCCAACAAAGCCCGAAGCACACGCCGGAAACCCUCGAACGCCGGUCACCGGAGCUAGGAGUUCGAACCCAGAAAAGAGAAGAAAGGGGUUUCCAAAUUAGGGUUCGAUUCGUACAACCAAGGACAUAGAAAGGAAGAGGGAAGUGAGGAGAACAAGAAUAUACCCUUCAACGCUGUCGUCCUUGUCGGAGCUCGCCGGAAAUAACAAAACACAGUCGCCGUCCACCUCCUUCGAUCUCCGUCGAGAGUGGAUGCCUUCUGGCUUCAAGGACCGGGCUGUGCUGAGAAGGAGGAGGGGACGACUUCGAUGGUGGUCUCGUCGCCAGGGAUGGCCGGAGACGGCGAUGCUGCGUUGGAGAAGACAGCGGCCGACGGAGAUGAGGGAGAAGAGAGAGAAUCGGGGAGAAGGAGAGAAGGAAAAGAGAAGAGAAAUGGUUUGGGCAUUUCACCCCCAAACCGGUCCAACACUUAAAAUUUAAUACCCACUCUACAAAUAACACCUCAAAAAUAAUACCCCGAUAACAAUUACCUUUUACUAGCUAAAAGUUACCAUUUUUACUGCCGUCACAUUUUCUCUUACGAUUAAAUCUUCCGAAAUAAUUGUCUCCUAAAACUCCUCUAGAGACAUUUGAAACUAUAAUCUUAUCGACGAAGACGGUAAAAUUCUUAUUAAUACCGAGCUAGUAAAUAAGGUAAAAAUUUAAGGGUCGGGAUGUGACAGCUGUUCAGGGGAUUUUCAUGGUUUUUGAUUGGUUAUAUUAAUGGGAGUUAUUGAUGUGAAUUUUAGAAUUUUUGGAGGAGUUUUGGAUAGGUUUGGGAAUUUUUUAAAGCUUAGUAAUUUUGGCGGUUAUUUAAGGAGAAUCCGACCGUUAGAUUAAAAUCGUUUAAUCGGUAGAAAGUUGAAUUAAAGCUGCCAGUAGGUUCGGUGAAGUUUGGACCCUAUUGAGUUAAGAAUGGCAAAGUUGGGCAAGGAUGAGUGUGGUUAAGGCUCAUAUAUAAUUAUGCCUAUUUUGUGUAAGUUUUGGAUUUUUUGUUGGGAAUUAAUAUUAUAUUUGGAACAGGACGUGAGGAGGCUCAAGCAGAAGAGGCCUCGGAUCGACAUCAGGCUUAGGCCUAAUUUGUGAGUGUACUUUUGUUUUAAAUAAUAUGCAUGCAAAUGGUUUAUUGAUGAAUAAUUUCUUUUGUUGGAGAAUAAUCAAAAUUGAGAAUUUCGGUGAUUAUAUAUUCAUAUAUGCAUGAUUAUGAGGAUAUGUAUAUAAAUAAAUGUUAGCUAGCUAUACGUGUUUUUCCGCCAUAAUGAGGUAAAAUACCAUUAUGGUGUGACGUGAGCGUUAGACGCAAUCGUCGUAACCCUAUAUGAAUAUAAUAAUUCAUAUAGAAAAUAUGCACUUAUAUAUACACCCGUCUUUUCUGCAUAAUGAGGUAAAAUUCCAUUAUAGCGUGACGUGAGUGUUAAACGCAAGCGUAGUAGCCUUGUAUGAAUUUCUAUUUUUCUUAUAUUUCUUCAUAAGAAAUUAUACAAGGAGUACGACGAGUGUAAAUACGUAUAUAUAUAUAUAGUUUAGCCUGAGAGGCUUCAUUUGUUUGAGUUUUGGAAACUAGCCGGAGCUACUCAUGUAAUUGCCAAUUUUUGAGCUGUCGCAUGCAACAUAUUUUUCUAUGGAAAUUUAACUUGGGAAGCAUAAAUAUUCUAUAAAUUUAUUUAUAUCCACUCACUCUAACGUUUUUCAAAUGUUUUCCCCUGGGCCCUUCAUUUUGAAAUGCCUAGUCUGCAUAGUUCGGGUUGGCACUAGUCAGAGGCGAGGCAUAGUUACCCACAUCUCUUUCACCUUUUAUCAAUAGGUUACCUGUUAACCUACUACCAUAUUUUAUUGCUUCCGCUAGUGUUUAGUAGCUCUGAUUACCUUGGGAUUAUUUGUAUAAUAGUUCGGUUGUGUGCUAAGUCUUUGUUUAUUAAUUUGGGAGAUAUCCAAAGGAUGGUGUAUGACAUAAAUUGGAUAUUUAUGUGUUGGAUUAGAAGAUGUUAUUAUUUUUGUGUGUGGUGGAUGUGUUGUGGGGGAGCAGGUGGCUCCAGGUGUUGAGGUUGGAUGUGUUGGUAUAGGAGUGUUAUCUGAAUUUUUUCAAGAUAGAGUUGUCAAUUUUCAAGAGAGAUUAUGCCGAAUUUUUCGGUAAAUUUUCUUUGGAGGUGGCUCCCGCAGGACUUACUCCAGGUUUUAGGGUAAAAUUUAGGGUGGGUUUUGACAAUAUGAGACAAUAAGCUUAUUUAUAACAGAUAUUAAAACUCACAUUCCCUGAUUAUUUAUUUUUGCUGAUACUCUCAUAAAAAUACAAAAUUUAGAUUACUGAAAAAAAAAAUGGUAGGGAUUAGCAUCUUUUUAUUUUGGUUUUUUAGCUAUUUUAGAGAACGUGUUUAGCUUUUUGAGUAUUUUAGGAGCUCCAGCAAACUAGCAAAAGUUUAGCUAAUAUGACUUUUAACUAUCUCGUUAGCUAAAUACAGAGCGAGAUGAAACUCUCUAUAAUUUAAUGCAUUCAUUUUAUGAUAUUUUAUGUGAUAUAUAAAUACAUAUUAAUUAGCUAUUUAAUCUUUAUUUGAAGAAUAAAUAAUAUUUAUUUAAAACUAACUAAAGUAGAGAGCAUUAAUGCAGACGUAUUUCUAAAAUCGCUAACCAAAAUGACAUUCUAGUUAAUUUAACUAAAAAAUAACUAACAUUAGUAAAAAUGCUAUUAAACAGGUAAAUUUUGUUGUGAGUUCGUUGUCAGAGCAUAAAGUGGGUCAAAAAAUAGGUUUUCGGUCUAUAAACAAAACUAAAAUGACAAACGAAUUAUACCUUUAAAAUGGUAGUGUGAUUCUAACACUUAUCUUUCAAUAAAAUAGGGUACGUAGUAUAUGAUUUUAAUAGCAUGGUAUACAUUGUGUACACGAAGAAGGCAGUUGCAACCUUUUUGUGAUUUAUAUGAUAAAUUACUUUGUUAACUGAGGACGAUUCCAUGUGCUUCUUGUAUGCAUAUGUUAAUUUGGAUUGAUUUGAUUAAUGAGAACGUUGAUUGUGUCUUAAUCCAUGUGUUAAAGAAAACAAGAUGUGAAUUGGGAAUGCGACUCCGAGUUGAAUCGGGUAAUUAGGUUUCUAAUCCCAAACACACCAAAAAUGGAAAAACCAAUUUGAGACUGGUGGGUGGUCCCCGAUGCUUGAUAGGUGAGAAAGCAAUAAGUCCAGCGCACUGCGAAGGAAAGCGAUGUAGGCUCUUAACUUAGAAUGGGUAGAUAGCGCAACAACCAUGAGCAAUUAAGAAACAAACCAAAUCUGCCCAUUGGAAAAUAAAAGAAGAAAGAGUUUACUUGCAUUUGGUAUCCUUUAUGUACUUCCUGAAUCAGUAAAACAUAAAUCUCGAUUUUUUUUUUUUAUCCGGUUCGGUCCCCGGACCCUCUAAAUAAUGUUGUGGAGAGAAGUCGAGAUCUCUAGAGAUCGAUCACCAAACUUUGUAUGUGAGUCGUAAAAACGAUCACGAUAUCGGAAAAACACGGAUCGAAGAAUCAUCGUACAUAAGACUACCUAACUAAUGGUCAUAAAUCAGGACAAUCUAUGUGACACCAACUUAAUAGCUAGCGUGGCAAACCCUUUUUAAAGGAGAGACGUGCAAAAGGCUCCAAUUAUAGAAUAAAAGCACUCUCGGCCCUAAUUGCAUGUGAUAUGGCAGUAGAGAUCAAAAAUUUUGCAAUAACAACUAGAUGUGACGCUCAAUGAUUUUGUGACUUUAAAUUUACGUAACAGGAAAUGUGACUAUCAACGUUGAAAAUGUAACCUCAUGAUUAACAUUAUAUUUUUAUGCACCCCACGUAACAAAAUAAACACAAGUUUUACAUGUCUUUAUAAGAGCACCAUAAUGAAUCUUUUUAUUCUGUAAUUUUCAUUAUUACAAUGAAUCCUAAAAACAGUAAAAAGUGAAAUGCAGCUAUGGUAAACUGUUAAAAAGGUCAAUCGUAAAAGUUAAUUUCAGUAAACGGAAUAUUAUUUCUCUCACCAAACCGACUUUCUCUCUCCUACCCCCACCAUAAGUACUCUGACAUGACUUGGAGAGGAGCUUCAGUUUCACAUUCACAUAAUCACAUUCACUGUCCAACCACAACCCAACAUAGCAGAGCUUCUUUUAAAAUCUCAGAUCAAACGAGACUCCCCCAUCCCCAUAACACUCAGCAAAUUGCAGACAAACAAACCCAUCAAAGAGAGGGAAAGGGUUUUGGAGGCAGGAGAAAAAUGUGGUUGAUUUAUGUGUGUGAUGAGGAAGAGAAGGAAUUGGGAAGGCAACAAGCUCCAGGGUCAUGUCCUCACUGUGGAGGCAAAGUAGAAGCUGUGGAUGUUGAGGCUCAGUGGAAGUUUUGCUUUCUCCCCAUGUGUUUCAAGAUCAAGAGGAAGUACUUCUGUUCUCUCUGCUCCAGGCGCUUGGUCUUGUACUACUAGCUCAAACCAAUAAGCACCCGGCUCAAAUUAAGACCCAGAAAUGAUUUAGGUUCUCUCUUUGUUUGUAAUUAAUCUCUCUCUCUCUCUCUCUCUCUCUCUCUCUCUCUCUCUCUCUCUCUGUGUUUCUGAUGUGUUUCUGGUUUUGGGUACAAUGAGAUUCAGGAAAUCUAGCUAGCUAGGAGAUUUGGGUUUUGUACAAAAAGAUUGUUAGAUUUGGGGGAAAUGGGUUCUUGAUUUGAAUGCCAUUGACAUUGAUUGGUUAGUAGCAUUGUUCAAUUUGGGUCUUUCUACUCAAUUUUUUAAUGAAACUUAUGAGGUUGUAAGCUUGCUCUAAAUCAUGUUUAGAGGUGAUCUUUAGUACUUCAUUAUUCAUUUUCCUCGUUAAUCCUCGUAUUAUUAUGGAAAAUCUGGUUUAGAUAUUUGGUGUAGAGUGCAUAAGGCUUAUUUUCUCCUCAGUUUCCAACUUCUAAUAAAGUUUAAUUAUCUUGUAACCUUUUUGAUAGUUUGAUUUUGAUUGAAACUAAUAGAUUGGAUGUAGCUAAUGACACAUGUUCUGAAGGGGAAUUGCAAGUCCCCACUCCAUUCAAAAGGAAAAGGAAUUGGGUCAUUAUCCCACCCACAUUUCUACUUUUUUCUGCAGAAAAUAUUUGAUCAUGGAAAUCUCUAGACUUCUGAUUGUCAUACCUAGAAGUCUCUGGGUCAGAACUCAAGUCUUUAAUUUUUUAGGUUUUUUUUAUAUCUUUAUUUUUUUAAAUUUUCUGAUAAACGAAAUGUGAAAAAGAUGUGAACCUGUUCUUGGAAAGUUGGAAUAGGACUAUGAAUACUCAGAUUACACCAACAUGGGGAGUGUUUGAAGCUUCAAUAAAAAUGAAGAACACACAAAAAGUUUACGCUUCCUAUUUUGUUAUUGGGGAUUGAGAAUCUGAGGUUAAACUAGUGGAGGCUGUAGCUGAGAAAACGAGCAUAACCAAAGGAAUGAUGCCUUGAAUCUUUUGUUUCUGUUAUACGACUGUAGAGUCUGCCCACCAUUGUUUAAUACUUGACUGAGCUCGUGUUACCAUCAAUAUUUUUCAAAUGGUCAAACUAAAAUGUUCAGGUCAAUAACUUAUCUCAUAAUUGAUGCAGUAACGUGCCUCAUAGCACUCCUAAUGUUCCAGCCAAUUGUCACUUAUGAGUCUCUUUGUUUAGGUUGCCACGGACCAUGGUUUUGAUUUGUAAUAUUUUUGAAGCAAAGUGGGCAGGCAACCCAAUAUAUUAAUUUCUCAAGCUAGGAUGGCUAGAUGCAAGCCCUCAUAUGUGGUGAUACAAAAACCAUCACAUUGUACAAUUUUUGCUCAUUUAAAAUGAGCCUAACCGGAACUUGGCAAUGGAGGUGUGGGUGUGGUAAUUAGAGACUAUGAGGGAGAGUGUGUUGCUAUUUUUGUUAGGCCUUUUCAGUAUACCUUAUCAGCUUUUUAUAUGGAAGCGGAAGCUCUUAGAGCAGGUAUGCUAAUAUGUAUUCAGCAAGGGUGGCAAGAUGUUAAAGUUGAAAAUGAUUGUGUGAACUUGGUAAAUGCACUCCAAAACACCGAUGACGAUCUCUCUAUUAUAGGAAGAGUUAUAGAGGACUGCCAAAGGUAUGUUGGUGCUUUUAAUUUCUUUCAUUUGCAACAUGUUUGUCGUGAAGCAAAUAGUGUGGCAAAUAGAUUAGCCCGCUUUGCUAGAUGCAAUAAGUUGGAUGUUUUUAGUUUAGAUAAGACACCUGUUAUUAUUCAGGAUGUUCUCUAUGAGGAUCUUUGUAAUAGUUUGUCUGUAGCUCGGGGUUCAGGUUUUAUGUCCCCCNNNNNNNNNNNNNNNNNNNNNNNNNNNNNNNNNNNNNNNNNNNNNNNNNNNNNNNNNNNNNNNNNNNNNNNNNNNNNNNNNNNNNNNNNNNNNNNNNNNNNNNNNNNNNNNNNNNNNNNNNNNNNNNNNNNNNNNNNNNNNNNNNNGAAAAAAAAAAAAGAAGCCUAAUCGAGUUAGAAAGUUAGAAAGUUAUUAUACACAAGGAUAAACUUGGUUGUAAAGCUUUCUUUCGCCAAUGCGCUCAAUUGCGAUACUCUAGAAGCUUUUAUUAUCGAGGUGUAUGAUAACCCUCCUUGUUGGCAGGCUAAAACUAUUAUGCAUGAGUGCCGCUACAAAAUCGUGGUGUUAGGAAUUCGCUAAAAAGUUUUUUGCCUCAUCUGACAACACGUCUAUUAACACCGUCACCGUACAGCUUGUACAUGAGCAAUAUCUAUGUGAGUAUGGUUCUUUUGAUGAGGGUUUCCCUCGUCGAUGGGAACGAAGGCCGGUGGCUGGUGAGAUCAGAGUUGAUGGGAGGCUUUCGCUUGAUUCUUUCAAGUUGGCUAUGGUGCUUGUGAGGGAAACCCAAUACAAAAUGAAGAAAUGCACGAAAUUGAAAAGAUAUUAAAAAGAGAUAUGAGAAAAAUUCAGAAUCAGUGCCUAAACUCAAAUAACAAGGCCAAGUUAGUUUCCUUUACUCAAUCUAGUACUUCAUUUGCUACUGUAUUGAUGAUUAUUUGGGCUAUUUGGAUGAACCGCAAUACUAAGGUUUGGGAUAGUGAGGCAAAACCAACAUCUGAGGCUGUUCCUUCUAUUCUGGGUGGGUAUGCUGAAUACCAUGAGGCACAUGUCAGUAAUAAUGUGCCUAUUCAGAUGCCCAUAGUUGGUUGGCAGAAACCUACUAGUGGUAUGGUCAAACUUAAUGUUGAUGUUGUUUUUGAUAAUCCCAAUAGUUUAAUAGGAGUUGGGGAUAUCUUUUGGGAUGCCAAUAUUGGAACCUUUUUGAGAGGUUUCCGGCAUUCUUUAUCUCAUGCAGCCUCUGCAUGUCAUGCAGAACUUCAAGUAAUGAUUUAGGGGUUGGAAUGUGCCUUAUCAUGUCACAUGGUGUCGUUGAUUGUAAAAACUGAUUGCCAAGAGUUGGUUUAUGCAGUAACAGACUAACAUGUCAUUUCCUGGACCAUUCUGAUAUGAGUUUCUUGAUAUUAGAUCUGAAACAGCUACUACAACUGUCAAGACCCACCCCGAAUUUCACCCUGAAACCCGAAGUAAAUCUUGCGGGGACCACCUCCAAGGAAAGUUUACCAAAAAUUCGGCAUAACCUCCCUUGAAAAUAGACAACCUUUCCUAAGAAAAUCUGCAUACACUUCUGAUAAACCAAUUCCAACCUUAAACUCCUAGAGCCUUCAUGCUCCCCCAAAUCACAACAUCUCUCAAUUGUUUACUAACAUUAAUGAGAAUAAUCCCACAACCAGCAAUCACAGUUCAGAGCAAUUCUAAUUGAGAGGAAAUAAACUAGAAAUUUAGAAAUGAGCGGAAGCUAAACUAUUGACUAUGCCUCUUCUCCAUGUACGCCCGACCUCAACUAUGCUAACCUGUAAACUGGGCAUUUUUAAAACGAAGAGCCCAGGGGAAAACAUUUGAAACCGUUAGAGUGAGUGGACAAAAAUAAAUUUAAAAAGAAUUAAAUUUUUAUGCUUUCCCGAUUUAACUUCUGUGGAAAUACAAUUAGCGGCAUGCAACAAGCUCAAAAGCUUUUAAAAAUUUACCGAAUUUACCAAAAUGUGACUAGCACAGCUAGUCACCAACACUUCAUAAAAAAAAAAAGAGCCUCUCAGGCUAAAAUAAAAUAUGUAUGUAUUACACUCGUCAUAUCCCUUGUAUGAAUUUUUCUUGAAACAACAAAGACAAAUAGAAAAUUCACACAAGGCUACGACGCCUGCACCUAACGUUCACGUCGCACCAUAAUGACAUUUUACCUCAUUAUGGUGGAAAAGACGGUGUGUGUAUAUAUAUACACGCAUAUCCCCUAUAUAAAUUCUUAUAUUUAUAUUGUCACAUCCCGACCCUUAUAUUUUUACCUUAAUUACUAGCGUGAUUAUAAUAAGAAUUUUACCGUCUCGAUCAUUGAAUUAAUAGUUAAUUGGUCCCUAGAGGGGUUUCGGGGACGAUUAUGUGCGGAGGAUUAUUCGUAUGAUGAAAAUACGACGACGGUAAAAAUAAUAAUUUUAGCUAGUAAAAGGUAAUUUUUAUUCGGGUAUUAUUUUUCGGGGUGUUUUAUUUUAGAAUUGGGUAGUAUAUAGGUGAUGGACCGGUUUGGGGUGUGAGGCCCAAAACCCAUUUUCUUUUCCUCCCGAUUUUCUCUCCUCACCCGCUCCCGCACCCGAGCCCUCCCGCUGCCGGAUUUCCGACCGCCAGACCGCCGCCGUCCGGCCGCCCCAGACCGCCGCACCGGUCCCAAUCGAACGGCCUCCAACCCAGCUUCCAUUCUAGGCCGGUAGCAGCCCCCCUAGCGCCGCCGUGAGUGCGCGGUGCCGCCCGAAAGGAUAGGCUGCCCCGAACUUCCGGUCGCCGGAACUCCCUCCUCCGGCCACCAAUCCGGGCAAGCUUGGUACGGUUUUGUAGCCCUCCUCCCGUGCAGCAACCCCUCCAAGCAGCUCCCUCCCUCUUGAGCUAGGUAAGGAGAAAUGUGGAGUUGAAAUUUCUAGGGCUUUUAAGUUGUUUUCGUUCGAUUAGCCUAGUUAGGCUUGGAAUUGGGUGAUGUGUUGGUCAUGAAAGUUGUAGAGGAGAUUGAGAGGAAGAUUCUGUUAAAAUUUGGUAGCAUUUGCAGGUCGCCGGAGUUGGUCGCCGGCCGCCGCUGUUUUGGGAAAUUUUGUGGUUUUUGAUGUAGAAUAUUAAGGGGAUAUCAUUGAGGUGAAUUUUGGAAUUUUUGGAUGAGAUUUGGAUAGGUUUGUGAAUUUCCGAAGUGUGGUAUUUUUGGCGGGUAAUUAAUGUAGAAUCCGGCCGUAGGAUUUAAGUCGUAUUUUGGAGAGGUUGUAUUUACGACUGUUGAGUAUGAUAUUUAAGUUCGGAUUGUUCCGAUUUAAGAUUAUCGAAGUUAGGCAAUGAUGAGCGUAUUUAUGGCUCUCGGGUAAUUUUGCCUAUUUUGAUUAAAUAUUGGAUUAUUGGUUGGGAAAUUAAUAUUAUAUUUGGAACAGGACGUGAGGAGGCUUGAGCAGACGAGACCCCAGAUCGACAUCAGGCUUAGGCCUAAUUUGUGAGUGGACUUUUAUUUGAAAUAAUAUGCAUGCUAUGGUUCAUGAUUGAACAUUUCCUUUUGUUGGAGUUUUGACGUCAAUUAAUUUUGACGCUUUUAUUUCUUUUGGAGAGAUACCAAAAAUGGGAUUUUCGGUGGAUAUAAAUAUGUAUUUAUGAGAGAGUAUGUAUGGAAAAUGCUAGCUAGUCAUAUGUGUAUGUCCACCUUAAUGGCGUAGCAUAUAACCGCAUUAUGGUGUGACGUGAGCGUUGGACGUAAGCGUAGUAGCCAUAUUUGAGUGUUUAAUUCAUAUAGGGGGUAUGGACACAUAUUUAUACACCCGUCUGUCCACCUUGAUGGCGUAGUGUAGCACUGCAUUAAGGCGUGACGUGAGCGUUGGACGCGAGCGUAGUAUCCCUAUAUAGACUCAUGAAUUUAUAUAGGGAGUAUGGACGAGUGUAAAUACAUACAUAUAUUAUAGAGUCUGAGAGGCUCGAUAUUUUAUGGGAUAAAAGUUUUAUCGCUUGCAGCAUGCAUUCGAUUUUUUCCUUAGAAAUUAAUUUGGGGAAACAUAAAUAUUUUAUUCAUUAUUUUAUUUUUAUCCACUCACUCUAACGUUAUUAAAUGUUUUCCCCUGAGCCCUUCGUUUUAAAUUGUCCAGUCUGCAGAGUUCGGGUUGGAUCUAGUAGGAGACGAGGCAUAGUCACCCGCAUUUCUGCCAGUUUUCGUCAGUAGGUUACCUGUUCAACCUACUCGUGUUUUCUUUCUUCCGCUUGUGUUUAGUAGCUCUGAAUACUUUGGAAUUAUUGUAUAUUUUGUGUAGAAUUUCUAAAGGAUGAUUAUGUGAUGUUCGGAAGUGUUGAAUUAAGAGUGUAAUAUGAAAUUUUCGAGUUAGGGUUGUCCAUCUGCAAGGGAGAUUUGCUUAAUCUUUUCAGUAAAUUUUCCUUGGAGGUGGUCCCCGCACAACUUACUCCGGGUUUCAGGGUGAAAUUUGGGGUGGGUCGUGUCAUAUAUAGGGUUACGACGAUUGUGGCUAACGCUCACGUCGCACCAUAAUGGAAUUUCAUCUCAGUAUGGUGGAAAAGCACGUAUAGCUAGCUAGCAUUUCUUUAUAUACAUAUUAUUCUCAUAAUCAUCUAAAUAUGGAUAUAUAUAUACAUACUCACCGAAAUUCUCAAUUUCGGUUAUUUUCUAACAACAUAAAUUAUUUCGCAUGCACAUUAUUUAAAACAAAAGUCCACUCACAACUUUAGGUCUAAGCCUGACGUCGGUCCGAGGUCUCUUCUACUUGAGCCUCCUCACGUCCUGUUUCCAAAUGUAAAAUUAAUUUACCAACUAAAAAUCCAAAUAUUUAUACAAAAUAGGCAAAAUUAAACGUGAGUCAUAACCACGCUCAUCAUUGCCUAACUUCGAUAUUCCUAAAUCGAAACGAUCCAAACUUUAAUACCAUAAACGGCAGUCGUAAAUACAACCUCCCCAGAACAACGACUUAAAUCCUACGGCUGGAUUCUACAUUAAUUAACCGUCAAAAAUACCAAACUUCAGAAAAUCACAAACCCGUCCAAAACUCCUCCAAAAAUUCCAUAAUUCACAUCAAUAAACUCCCCUUAAUAUUCCACAUUUAAAACCAUAAAAAUCUCUCAAACAGCGGCGGCCGGAUGCCGACUCCGGCGAUCUCCAAUGCCUAUGAAAUUUUGACAGCAUCUUCCUCUCAACUCACUCUACAACUUCCUUAACUAGCACAACACCCAAUUAUAAGCCUAACUAGGUCAAUCGAACGAAAACAUCCAUAAAUCCCUAGAACUUCAAUUAAACAUCUCUCAUUAUCAAGACCGAAUUAAGUCGAUUCCUUUUGAGGGAUCAUUAACCUUGAUGAGAGCUACAAGAUGAGCUAAAAAUCACGAGCUAUGGUGGCCGGAGGUGGGAGCUCCGGGGAAGGACAGCCCGACGUCUCCGGUGGAAGAUCUCCCGAUCGGCGGCAUUAUCGGCGCAGCCACUAGGUCGGGAAGAGAGAAGAGGUGGCGGGGCUCCGAACUGGGCUAGAGCGGCGGCCGGUUGCUGGUCGGACGGCGGCAGGUAAGCGGCUGGAAGUUCGCCUGGGAGAGAGCUCGGGAGAGGGCUCGGGGAAGAGGGAAGAGAAAAGAGAGAAGAAAAAGACUUUGGGCCUCUAACACCCGGUCCAACUCCUUAAUACCACUCUAAAAAACUCCACUCAAUAACACAAAACACUCCAAUAAAAAUACCCUAAUAAAAAUUACCUUUUACUAGCUAAAAUUUACCAUUUUUUACCGUCGUCACAAUUUCCUCCUACAAACAUUUCCUCCGAAAUAAUCGUCCCUCAAAACCCCGCUAAGGACCAUUUAAACUAUAAACUCAUUUACGAAGACGGUAAAAUUCUUAUUAAUUACCAAACUAGUAAAUAAGGUAAAAAUUUAAGAGUCGGGAUGUGACAACAACAAGCUGAUUCAGUCAUUCUUUGCCAUGUUAGGAGGGAAACUAACAAUGUAGCACAUAUUUUAGCUAGAGAAGCCAAAUUGACUGUCUAUUUUGAUAAUUUUUUUUUCCGUUACUCCCGUCUGUGGAGGUGUUACUCUAUCAAUAAAUAUAUUCAUUCCUUAAAUGCUUAAAUAGCGACUAAUAUGUAAUUAUCUAAAAACUGAAAUUACAAAAGACCCACGAAGGAAACUGAAAUACACCCUACAAGGAAAGAGGCCCAAGUAGUCCUCUACAAGAAGGACACUGCCCUCUCUUCUCUUCGUCUUCGACCUUCAAAACCCCCUCACCCGCCUCUGCUACGCUUUUGAAACCACAAAUCCCUUUCCAGACGAGAAUGGCUUCUUCGACGGCGGGAGUAAAGCGGCGCGAGACGUCGUCGUCUUCGGCGGCAAAAGCGGAAGACAAGCUGGUCGUGACUCCAUUAGGCGCCGGAAACGAAGUGGGUCGGUCUUGCGUUCACAUGACCUACAAGGGCAAAACCGUCCUUUUUGAUUGCGGAAUCCACCCGGCUUUCUCCGGCAUGGCUGCUUUGCCCUACUUCGAUGAGAUUGAUCCUUCCACUAUCGAUGUCCUUCUCGUUACCCAGUAUGUUACUUCUCUCUUGAGUAUCUAGGGCACCGUUUGUACUUAUAUGACUCGAAUGUCUAGGUUUUCUUGAUUGUAAUGUCUUAAUUGUUUAGCUAAUGAAAUGUGAUUGCAUUGUGUUGUAUGCUAAACUGGGGCAAGAAUCUAAUCUUGUACAAUUCAUUGUCUAAAAGAUGAAGCUACUAUGCCUUCUUGCUUUGCUUGUUCAGUUGUCUAUUGUGUGUUAGUUAGGUUUGCCUCAGCUUUCGUGUUUGCUUAAGCCUCCUCUUUCGGGGUUUUAGCGAAAACCAUGAACUUAAUUUAUGAAAGAAUGAGCAAAAAAACACAUGGAUCCGCCAAUGCUAGUGCGUCGACAAAGAUUAUUGUCUUACUUGACUCAAUCUGAUCAGCUAAGUUAAUGUGUUUCUAGGAGUUUUUGCUAGCCAGAGGAGGAUAACUAAGAUGUGUCUUAGGGUGUUUGUCAAGGUCCUACUAUCUUUUUGUCUAUGGUUUCUGGGUGUGUUCCACCUCUCUCGAUUCAUUUGAUUAAGUCUCUGACUUGUGUUAUUUCUUUUAUGGGAAACAUAAUAGUUAGUGCUAGAUGGACUAGCAGUCGAAAAAGGUAGAACUGUCAUCUAACAGAAAACUGAAAACAUGAAAAGAUGAGAGCAUAACAAAAGUCACC